RNAcentral lists this ribosomal RNA (229 nucleotides) under uncultured bacterium. RNAcentral describes it as "partial 16S ribosomal RNA". It matches the Rfam family "Bacterial small subunit ribosomal RNA", at positions 568 to 796 of the family's 1533-position model. The record is from RNAcentral.
CGUGCAGGCGGUUUGAUAAGUUGGAUGUGAAAGCUCCCGGCUCAACUGGGAGAGGUCAUUCAAUACUGUCAGACUUGAGGAUGGUAGAGGGAGGUGGAAUUCCGGGUGUAGUGGUGAAAUGCGCAGAUAUCCGGAGGAACACCAGUGGCGAAAGCGGCCUCCUGGACCAUUCCUGACGCUCAGACGCGAAAGCUAGGGUAGCAAACAGGAUUAGAUACCCUGGUAGUCC